This 500-nucleotide ribosomal RNA is filed under the name uncultured bacterium. RNAcentral's name for it is "partial 16S ribosomal RNA". It matches the Rfam family "Bacterial small subunit ribosomal RNA", at positions 30 to 523 of the family's 1533-position model. The record is from RNAcentral.
AUUGAACGCUGGCGGCAGGCCUAACACAUGCAAGUCGAGCGGAUGAAGGAAGCUUGCUUCCUGAUUCAGCGGCGGACGGGUGAGUAAUGCCUAGGAAUCUGCCUAUUAGUGGGGGAUAACUCGGGGAAACUCGGGCUAAUACCGCAUACGUCCUACGGGAGAAAGUGGGGGAUCUUCGGACCUCACGCUAAUAGAUGAGCCUAGGUCGGAUUAGCUAGUUGGUGAGGUAACGGCUCACCAAGGCGACGAUCCGUAGCUGGUCUGAGAGGAUGCGCAGCCACACUGGAACUGAGACACGGUCUAGACUCCUACGGGAGGCAGCAGUGGGGAAUAUUGGACAAUGGGCGAAAGCCUGAUCCAGCCAUGCCGCGUGUGUGAAGAAGGUCUUCGGAUUGUAAAGCACUUUAAGUUGGGAGGAAGGGUUGUAAGCUAAUAUCUUGCAGCUUUGACGUUACCAACAGAAUAAGCACCGGCUAACUCUGUGCCAGCCGCCGCGGUAA